AUGAACGCUGGCGGCGUGCCUAAUCCAUGCAAGUCGAGCGAACAGACGAGGAGCUUGCUCCUUUGACGUUAGCGGCGGACGGGUGAGUAACACGUGGAUAACCUACCUAUAAGACUGGGAUAACUUCGGGAAACCGGAGCUAAUACCGGAUAACAUGUUGAACCGCAUGGUUCAACAGUGAAAGACGGUCUUGCUGUCACUUAUAGAUGGAUCCGCGCCGCAUUAGCUAGUUGGUAAGGUAACGGCUUACCAAGGCAACGAUGCGUAGCCGACCUGAGAGGGUGAUCGGCCACACUGGAACUGAGACACGGUCCAGACUCCUACGGGAGGCAGCAGUAGGGAAUCUUCCGCAAUGGGCGAAAGCCUGACGGAGCAACGCCGCGUGAGUGAAGAAGGUCUUCGGAUCGUAAAACUCUGUUAUUAGGGAAGAACAAAUGUGUAAGUAACUAUGCACGUCUUGACGGUACCUAAUCAGAAAGCCACGGCUAACUACGU
RNAcentral lists this ribosomal RNA (495 nucleotides) under uncultured bacterium. RNAcentral describes it as "partial 16S ribosomal RNA". It matches the Rfam family "Bacterial small subunit ribosomal RNA", at positions 29 to 506 of the family's 1533-position model. The record is from RNAcentral.